UCGGUUGCUGAGAAGAAAAAAGAGAAUGAUUGAUCGGGGUAAGGCGUGGUCCACCAACUUUAAGGUGCAAAAAAAGAGAAACAUGUGGAAGAAGCUUGCAUAAUUUCACCCAUGUUUAUUUUUACCGUGAAGCCAACAACUAAUGAUGAAACUCAGUUUCUUCCUUGGGAUAAAAAACAAAAGGUUACUAUAGGUCCAAAAUAUAUUGAACUGGAUUCAUUUGACACAAUUUGAAUCCCCCAAAAUGUUGUCAAAACUAUCCCACCCUUUCACAAAGCUCUUCCUUAGAAAGCUUUGAAAGCUUCACCUUGAAGCUCCAAAGUUUUUGAGCUCUUACCUACAUCAAGCCUCCCAACAAAAGAAGGAGAAAAUAAUUUUUUUAGAAGAAGGAGUAGAAGCAUACAAAGAAAGACAGAGGAGAGUAUAUUUCACAUACAUGAAGGUAAUUUUGCUCGUCAGAGUUCUCGUCGAAAACCUAGAAAUUCCAAGUUCUUGAGAGGUGUUUUUCUUCAAUUUUUCAUGUCUAUUUACCUUUCUCCUUGGAUAUUUGUUGAUUAUUUACCUUCAAUCGUUGUAAAUUAUUGUAUUCGAACCAAAAUAUUGGAAAGGGGAUUUAUGGUUUAUGUUGGGGAUGAGGGUUGAUUUGUAUUUAUUAUGGAUGUUUUGAUGAUUUUGAACCUUGAUUAGUGAUGUUGAGUGAAUUUUGAACCUCCAUGCUCAUCUUUUGUUCUUCCUUUUUUUAUGUUUG
RNAcentral lists this long non-coding RNA (748 nucleotides) under Lathyrus oleraceus (garden pea). RNAcentral's name for it is "Pisum sativum (pea) long non-coding RNA (PSAT_LNC008761)". Lineage: Eukaryota; Viridiplantae; Streptophyta; Magnoliopsida; Fabales; Fabaceae. The record is from RNAcentral.